This 487-nucleotide ribosomal RNA is filed under the name Spalangia gemina. RNAcentral describes it as "eukaryotic LSU rRNA". The record is from RNAcentral. Lineage: Eukaryota; Metazoa; Arthropoda; Insecta; Hymenoptera; Spalangiidae.
UUCAAUACCAGUGACGUUGGCUCUCGCUCGGAAUGGCAUUAUCUUGCUACGGCUUGUGGUGCGUCCGUUGCGUAGUGUCCGAUGUUGUCGGUGUGCACUUCUCCCCUAGUAGGACGUCGCGACCCGUUGGGUGCCGGCCUACGGCCCGGUAGGUUGACUGACGCGAUCGCGUUCGCGCGUACCCGCGUUCAGACACCGCUGGUUGUCCGGCCGGCUGCUCGGCGGUAUAGAAUUUUUUAACACGGUAUUGAGCCGCACUUAAGUGCGUUCGGCUCGUCGGCAGGCACGCAUCGUGCGGCGUUACGGACCUGGUGCCGUCGCUGUUACAUCGCGGAGCUGUUAGUCGACGAUGUCCUCGGACCGGCUCUUAACAUUCGAAUGGAUAUACCGGUCAGCGACGCUACUGCUUUGGGUACUUUCAGGACCCGUCUUGAAACACGGACCAAGGAGUCUAACAUGUGCGCGAGUCAUUGGGACAUGUUAAGCC